AUGCGGCUUAAUCUCAUGAAACAAGGAGGAGUGCCACUGCCAUGCCAUCCCGCAGCGCGGCCGCCAAGAAGAAGGCGGCGGAGGUGCUCCCGAGCAACAAGAGGAAGAGGGCCAUUGUAUCUGUUUGAUGACAUGAUACUGGAGCUUCUACUCCGGCUCCCGGUCAAAUCCAUUGUGCGUUUCCGCUCCGUCUGCCGCUCCUGGGCCGCAAUGUUGCCCUCCAAGGAUUUCUGCAGCCUCCACAUGGCCACCUCUAAGAUGCUGCCCCGCGCCCCCAAUCUACUGGUGCCCUCGCCCGCACCAACAUUUGGCUCCGUUGCAGUGUACGCCUGCUCUCCGUCAAGCCCCGUAGACGAUUUACUCUUCACCUUCGACUGCGCCCGCCGCAACUCCGUUGAAAUGGUGACGCCUUCGCCAUGCUGCGGGCUCACGCUCCUGUAUGACGCCGCGGCGCCGGCUUACUAUGUUUGCAAUGCGGCUACAAGGGUGAUCACACGCCUGCCACCGCACCGUGUUCCCACAUACGAUUCCAGUGCCGGGCUGGGAUUUGACGCCGGGACAAGGGAGUACAAGGUCGUGAGGUUGAUCAAUGGGCUUUCCGAUGAGAAGGAGACGAUCAGCUGUGAUGUGUGCGCACCCGGAGCCGAUCGCUGGAGGCCGGCGACUGGAGGAGUGCCCUUCAAAUGGUCCCAGUUUACAAAUUCUGCAGUUCAACAUGCGGCGGUGAACAAAAUACCGCCUGCGUUCGCGAACGGAUUCCUGCACUGGUUGAUCAAUCCUUCACUUAUCAUCAGAAGGCUAAGAGCUGCUAUCGUAUCCUUUUCAGUCGCAGAGGAGACCUUCGGAUGUGUCCGUUCACCGCCGUUCUGGGGACCAAGAGAACAUCCGCGCUCCUGGUCCCAGUCAGAAGGAGAGCACCUGGUUGUGAUGGACGACCAGCUGUGCAUUGUCCGGGACCUUCGCGACGGAAUCCCUCAUGGCGGCACCUUGGAGAUUUGGGGACUGCUGGAUUAUGGCUCCGGUGAUUGGUCGCUGAAUCAUCGAAUCGAUUUGUCGGGCAGUUGCAAGUCGGGGAAGAAGAUUGUGAUUGCUACUAGCAAGCACGUGGUUCACGACAAGUUUCAGAAAAAGGUUUACUCAUAUGAUCCUAGCCGUCGAGUUCUAGAGGGCAUUCUUCCGGUCACCGAGACACACGCCUUUUUUAUGGGCUUCAUCCCUGGUUCAAGAUUCAGCUUACAUGAAGAGAGCCUUGCUCCAGUGCAUAAAACUCAUCAAGACCUGGCAUUCAAAAAUGUGCUAAAGAAACUACGGCUCCAUGCUAAAAGGCUAAUAGACGAAGAGUCACUGUUGUUGAAAUCUUCUGUAACUGAAGGACUUUAA
RNAcentral lists this ribosomal RNA (1380 nucleotides) under Triticum aestivum (bread wheat). Its description in RNAcentral is "partial small subunit ribosomal RNA". The record is from RNAcentral. Lineage: Eukaryota; Viridiplantae; Streptophyta; Magnoliopsida; Poales; Poaceae.